AUUGAACGCUGGCGGCAUGCUUUACACAUGCAAGUCGAACGGUAACAGGCCGCAAGGUGCUGACGAGUGGCGAACGGGUGAGUAAUGCAUCGGAACGUGCCCAGGCGUGGGGGAUAACUAAUCGAAAGAGUAGCUAAUACCGCAGACGAACUAUGGAUGAAAGAGGGGGACCGUAAGGCCGCGCGCGAUUGGAGCGGCCGAUGUCAGAUUAGGGAGGUGGUGGGGUAAAGGCGCACCAAGCCAACGAUCUGUAGCUGGUCUGAGAGGACGACCAGCCACACUGGGACUGAGACACGUCCCACACUCCUACGGUAGGCAGCAGUGGGGAAUUUUGGACAAUGGGCGCAAGCCUGAUCCAGCAAUGCCGCGUGCAGGAAGAAGGCCUUCUGGUUGUAAACUGCUUUUGUACGGAACGAAACGGCUCUGGUUAAUACCCGGGGCUAAUGACGGUACCGUAAGAAUAAGCACCGGCUAACUACGUG
This 482-nucleotide ribosomal RNA is filed under the name uncultured bacterium. Its description in RNAcentral is "partial 16S ribosomal RNA". It matches the Rfam family "Bacterial small subunit ribosomal RNA", at positions 29 to 507 of the family's 1533-position model. The record is from RNAcentral.